CCUACGGGUGGCAGCAGUGAGGAAUAUUGGUCAAUGGGAGAGAUCCUGAACCAGCCAAGCCGCGUGAGGGAAGACGGCCCUAUGGGUUGUAAACCUCUUUUGUCGGAGAACAAAACCCGGGACGUGUCCCGGACUGCGUGUAUCCGAAGAAAAAGCAUCGGCAAACUCCGUGCCAGCAGCCGCGGUAAUACGGAGGGUGCGAGCGUUAUCCGGAUUUAUUGGGUUUAAAGGGUGCGUAGGCGGUCCGUUAAGUCAGCGGUAAAAUCGCGGGGCUAAACCCCGUCGAGCCGGUGAAACUGGCAGGCUUGAGUUGGCGAGAAGUACGCGGAAUGCGCAGUGUAGCGGUGAAAUGCGUAGAUAUCGGGAAGAACUCCGAUUGCGAAGGCAGCGUGCCGGCGCGAGACUGACGCUGAGGCUCGAAAGCGUGGGGAUCGAACAGGAUUAGAUACCCCAGUAGUC
RNAcentral lists this ribosomal RNA (459 nucleotides) under uncultured bacterium. Its description in RNAcentral is "partial 16S ribosomal RNA". It matches the Rfam family "Bacterial small subunit ribosomal RNA", at positions 338 to 795 of the family's 1533-position model. The record is from RNAcentral.